This 254-nucleotide ribosomal RNA is filed under the name uncultured bacterium. RNAcentral describes it as "partial 16S ribosomal RNA". It matches the Rfam family "Bacterial small subunit ribosomal RNA", at positions 524 to 776 of the family's 1533-position model. The record is from RNAcentral.
UACGGGGGGGGCAAGCGUUGUUCGGAAUUACUGGGCGUAAAGGGCUCGUAGGCGGCUAGCUCAGUCGGACGUGAAAUCCCUCGGCUCAACCGGGGAACUGCGUCCGAUACUGGCUGGCUUGAGGUUGGGAGAGGGAUGCGGAAUUCCAGGUGUAGCGGUGGAAUGCGGAGAUAUCUGGAGGAACACCGGUGGCGAAGGCGGCAUCCUGGGCCAAUACUGGCGCUGAGGGAGCGAAAGCCAGGGGAGCAAACGGG